GACCGAACCUUCUCAAACCAGGCACGAAUUCUGUCAGUCAGGGGCCGGGAUCGUCUGGCCCGCCAGCCCCGACUCGCGCGGCUCCGGGCCUGCGGCGCUGCCCCGGCCCAUCCAACCACGGAUCCACCGUUCAGAUAAUAUCCUUCGCUGCCUCCGGCUGCGAGGCAGGGAACUGAGGAAACGUCUCGAAUGGUCGAACAGUAGUUUGCUCGCUAUUAUCCAUGGCGACUUCUACGGCUGCUGCCACUGCACUGCUCCGCCCCAGGCCGGCAGUUCCAGCCAAGUUGGCGCAGAGGAGGUGCCUCCAUGCGGUUGCUGGGUGGACGACGAUGAGGAGGAGGGGAGCUGCAGGGGUCGUGCGAGCUUUCUUCAACCCUCUCGGGGAUGAGCGCAUCCUCCGAGAAGCCAUCAAGGAGCCAGUAGCAUUCAUGGGUGGUGUGUUUGCUGGCCUCUUGAGGCUUGACCUGAAUGAGGAUCCUCUCAAGGAAUGGAUAAGUCGGACAGUGGAGGCUUCUGGAAUAGCUGAGGAAAACAGCUCUGAAGAAUCAAGUGAGGCAGAUCAAAAUGAUGCACCUCAGCAAAUUGAGAUUGAGUGAGGUGCAUUGUCUACUUUUGUCCACUUGUCACUUUUCCCUUGUAACUUAUCCUGAAUAUAUGUGACACCUGAUUCAUCACGUGCUUGUCAAAAAAAAAAAGUUGGCCUUAUAACGUUUUUAAUUCAAAUAUUGUAUCAACCUCAAAAUAUCAAACCUUGGGCCCUGGUUUUAUUCUACAACUCCUGUUUCAUAAUAUGGAGCCCCAGUCCUCUAGACAUGAUUUUAAACUUGGCCAUAAGUAUAACUAGAGUGUAUUACCAGUAAAUGGAAAGUUACACUUUUGAAUGAAAUGCAUGUUCAAUGGUAUUCUUUGACAGCUAACUCUACAUAUGAAUGCACCAAUUCAUUUCUCAAUGUUUGCAAACUUUGACCCUUUGUGAUGUGUUAGGGCAUCAUAUAGUUAAAUGGAGGCACUCGUUGGACCACAAUAAAAUUAAUUUCACUGGUACAUGUAUUAGGGGAUAGUUGGAUGACCAAACAUUAUUUCGCCUUUCUACAUUAUGGUAGACCUGAAGUCGGUUCUUGCCUGCAGUGCUGCUUUAUUUUAAAAAAUGAUAUUUUUUGUCCUUCUGUUGCUGAUAUUAGAACAGUAUAUUGUUGGCCUCAUGUAUCUAUUGGCUUCAAGUGAAGUUUUGAGUUACAUCAGUUGAAUAUUUGAAAUGUAAGAGACUAAGAACAACCUUCAAUGGACAUGUAGAAAAGAUAUUGCAAGGCUUUUUGGACAUCACAUCCGAAUUUGGAGCAUGUCUUACUGAAAGUGCAGUGUAUUAAUUCAUGAACUCAGAAUGUUUUGCACAGCGUUUAUGCUAUACUAUCUAGCCUUCAAAAUAAUAGAAAAAAGAAAUCAGCUUUGUGUGUUCCAUAUAAACAACUUCUAUGGAGCCCUGCUGCUUGUAAGCAGCUUUGGUUGCAUACUACAAGAAAAAUAAGAAAUACAUAAUUUCUUCAGCAGAUCUUAAACUAAACAAAAUUUAAAUAUCUUGGCAUCUCCAUUACAUGAUUUAGAUAGAAUUUGUCAACAAUAUAGCCAAAAUCUUUGAGUAAACAAAUGUGUAUUAGACAGAUUGUUGGGAGAAAAUUGUGAUAUGUUCUUGGUGAUAAAAGGAACCAGUAUUCUUUGAAAUAAACUAAAAGUUACAAGAAAAGUAACAUUUCUUUUCACUGAUGUAUUUUGUAUUCUUGAGGUAUACUUGGUUGUAAUUUUUCUUUUGAAUCCUAGUAACUGUUUAACUUGUUAUGUUCUAUUCUCUUGGUUUUCUCUAGUAUAAUGCUAUGUAUUUAAGCAAGCUCUGUGCUUCAACCGGAAUAAUGGUUCUAUCAUGUCUAGGGGUGGUAAUGGAUCACGAUCCAAAUGCCCCUUCACAAAAAGUUAGGGCCCUUAAAUAAAUGUAGUUCAAAAAUGAAUAGGAAUAUGGUCCGAUUCUAAUCCGAUUCGAUCCUUAAAGUUUGUAGUGUAAACUCUAGAUCCCAUUACCACCCCUAAUCAUGUCUAGUGUCCCCCUGACAUAUAAUGUUAAUGCUGAAAAACUUAGGUGUCAGUAUCUGAUGCAAAAUGUCAACAUUUUUUUACUCAAGAUAGGUAUCAUUAUCAUCCUCAAAUUGGAGUAAAAAUCGGUGUGUUAGAAAUUUACGUUAAGGGAGGAUAAUCUGUUAAGCAGUCCUCUUUUGUGUUACUUUCUUGUGCGAGAAAUGUAUCACUUAGUAUGAGCUUGGCGGAUCUUGUCUUACCUCCUGCUUUCUUGUUUAUGGGAUACUCUUUGCAUCCCCUUUUCUUGCAGUAAUAAAUAUUACCCAUAUCGGUCUCCUUGUCGCAUGCCUUUGUGUGUGCAUCUGGAUAGGUAGCUAGGUCACCACAUUUCCCUCUAUAACAUGUUGUUUGAUUUCUCUUGUCACUGAUUCAUUUGGAAAUACAUCAGUGGGUUUGACGCUUUUGUAGGAAUGUUUGGUACUAUAAGUUACUACGUACAGUACAUACACAGUUCCUCCAAGAGACCAAGAUACAUCUUUGACCAGACUUUGGCUGUGGUAGGUUUAAGAAGAACUGCACAUGAGAACAGGGGAAAGGUCCUCAAAAUACAAAACAAUUCCCGAAAUAAUACCCGGAAUAGGUGAGACCGUGAGAGCAGACUCUGACCACACAAGGGAGAGCAUACUCCUACCACACCCCAUACCACUAGGACAGCAGCUUAUUUGGUCAUCUUCUUUUUGAAAAAUUAUUAUUUGGUUGUCAUGUUUCUUAUCUUAGUAUAAUAUACCCUCUCCAGCGAUGUCCUGUAGAGAGUUCGUGUUGUUGUAAGACCUGGCCAUUUAUUCCCCGCAAUGGAAAAUACACACUCUCCUUCGUAUUAAAAAAAGUGUCCAGUCCUUAAA
Zea mays is the source of this 2966-nucleotide RNA transcript. It is a transcript of the gene named UPF0426 protein chloroplastic, with no coding region annotated. Lineage: Eukaryota; Viridiplantae; Streptophyta; Magnoliopsida; Poales; Poaceae. The transcript is spliced from 4 exons. The record is from RefSeq and is marked validated.